RNAcentral lists this ribosomal RNA (497 nucleotides) under uncultured bacterium. RNAcentral describes it as "partial 16S ribosomal RNA". It matches the Rfam family "Bacterial small subunit ribosomal RNA", at positions 28 to 507 of the family's 1533-position model. The record is from RNAcentral.
GAUGAACGCUGGCGGCGUGCCUAAUACAUGCAAGUCGAGCGAACAGACGAGGAGCUUGCUCCUCUGACGUUAGCGGCGGACGGGUGAGUAACACGUGGAUAACCUACCUAUAAGACUGGGAUAACUUCGGGAAACCGGAGCUAAUACCGGAUAAUAUAUUGAACCGCAUGGUUCAAUAGUGAAAGACGGUUUUGCUGUCACUUAUAGAUGGAUCCGCGCCGCAUUAGCUAGUUGGUAAGGUAACGGCUUACCAAGGCAACGAUGCGUAGCCGACCUGAGAGGGUGGUCGGCCACACUGGAACUGAGACACGGUCCAGACUCCUACGGGAGGCAGCAGUAGGGAAUCUUCCGCAAGGGGCGAAAGCUUGACGGAGCAACGCCGCGUGAGUGAUGAAGGUUUUCGGAUCGUAAAACUCUGUUAUUAGGGAAGAACAAAUGUGUAAGUAACUAUGCACGUCUUGACGGUACCUAAUCAGAAAGCCACGGCUAACUACGUG